UACACUCCUGCGGGAGGCAGCAGUGGGGAAUAUUGCACAAUGGGCGCAAGCCUGAUGCAGCGACGCCGCGUGGGGGAUGAAGGCCUUCGGGUUGUAAACUCCUUUCGCUAGGGACGAAGCUUUUUUGUGACGGUACCUAGAUAAGAAGCACCGGCUAACUACGUGCCAGCAGCCGCGGUAAUACGUAGGGUGCGAGCGUUGUCCGGAAUUACUGGGCGUAAAGGGCUCGUAGGUGGUUUGUCGCGUCGUCUGUGAAAUUCUGGGGCUUAACUCCGGGCGUGCAGGCGAUACGGGCAUAACUUGAGUGCUGUAGGGGUAACUGGAAUUCCUGGUGUAGCGGUGAAAUGCGCAGAUAUCAGGAGGAACACCGAUGGCGAAGGCAGGUUACUGGGCAGUUACUGACGCUGAGGAGCGAAAGCAUGGGUAGCGAACAGGAUUAGAUACCCGGGUAGUCCC
Molecule: ribosomal RNA, 456 nt
Filed under: uncultured organism
Description: partial 16S ribosomal RNA
Rfam family: Bacterial small subunit ribosomal RNA
Source: RNAcentral